GCCCAGGUGGUGGAAUUGGUAGACACGCUGUGUUCAGGUCGCAGUGAGCUUACGCUCGUGAGAGUUCGAGUCUCUCCCUGGGCACCA
RNAcentral lists this transfer RNA (87 nucleotides) under Bacterioplanes sanyensis. RNAcentral's name for it is "tRNA-Leu". It matches the Rfam family "tRNA". Rfam says of the family: Transfer RNA (tRNA) molecules are approximately 80 nucleotides in length. The record is from RNAcentral. RNAcentral also lists the same sequence under 1 other name. Lineage: Bacteria; Pseudomonadati; Pseudomonadota; Gammaproteobacteria; Oceanospirillales; Oceanospirillaceae.